Molecule: long non-coding RNA, 636 nt
Filed under: Coffea arabica (coffee)
Lineage: Eukaryota; Viridiplantae; Streptophyta; Magnoliopsida; Gentianales; Rubiaceae
Description: long non-coding RNA (CARA_LNC006965)
Source: RNAcentral
CCGUGCUUUUGUGGGAAUUGGGAAUAUGUCAAUGAUGGGGUAAUGCCUACUGUCUAAUUCAGCCAUUUAUCAGCAUAUUUCCCCACUUCCCUACUCUGCCUUCCCCACAAACCCCACAAAACCCCCAAAAGGAAAGAAAAAAUUUCCCAUUUCUUGAUCAGAUCCACCCAUCGUCACUGACUGCCUUCCUCAUCAACCAUGGCUGAGAAGGUAAGCCAAUUCUCUUGCUAGCUUUCCAAACCAUCCCUCAAAUGUGGUGAUAUUAUUGUUUUGCAUCUUUUUUUUUCCCCCUUUUUUAGUCUUUGCUCAGUUAGUGGCUUUAUUUCGUACGGACAAGAAUUUGAUUUUUUUUUUUUGUUUGGGGUGAUGCUCAAUUUUUUUGGACAAGAGAAAUCAGAGACCAUGUAUAUGAUGAGAAGCGAGAUCUGGUGACCAUCCCCGUGGUGUGCUGUAGCCCGGAGAAAAUCCGCGACAAAUUAUGGGUGACCAAGGCAUUAAGAGCACUGAGAUCAUGGAGCCAGAUAAGAUCAGGCCGCCCGAGAAACCUGAGGAGGCCGAGAAGCCCAAGCGGCCGGAGAAGCCUGAGGAGACCCAAAAACCCUCAGUUAUAGUAAUUGAAAAGUCGAAGAUGCCCUG